CUUAAUUUGGGUUAAGAGCGACGGGCAAUUUGUGCAUAUUUAACUAUUUUUUUUCUCUUUUAAUUUUGAUUUUUUUUUAAUACUUCUAAGUCCUUUUUCCGAUUACUAAAUUUAUGUUUCAUUUUUUUAACUUAUAGUAUCCCACGUUUGCUUGCAUGUAUCCUUGAUAUUGAUUUGUUUUUUGACUUAUAGUUUUUAAAUUUUAUUUUAUCUAUUUAUUUAAGCAAAAAUAUAAAGAGUGAUAAAGUAAGAUCCUUUUUAUCGUGGGUUGUCUAUUAUAAAGCAGGAUCCCCUAGGUUAGUUAAGUACUGCCAUUCUAAAUGGAUUUUUUUUCUUUAAAUACUUUCUUUUUUUUUGUUAGAA
This 363-nucleotide ribosomal RNA is filed under the name Aculops sp. AH7_1. RNAcentral describes it as "partial small subunit ribosomal RNA". Lineage: Eukaryota; Metazoa; Arthropoda; Arachnida; Trombidiformes; Eriophyidae. The record is from RNAcentral.